This is a non-coding RNA of Dipodomys spectabilis (banner-tailed kangaroo rat), 287 nucleotides long. The record is from the annotation of a RefSeq genome assembly. Lineage: Eukaryota; Metazoa; Chordata; Mammalia; Rodentia; Heteromyidae.
UUCAGUCCUAAAAAUGAAGUCCUUGUCUCAGCUCCUGUGGCUGUUAAUGCUCUGGAUCCCUGGAUCAAGUGGAGAUGUUGUGAUGACCCAGACUCCACUCCCCUUGCCUGUCAACCUAGGAGAGCUGGCCUCCAUCUCUUGCAGGUCUAUUCAGAACUUUCUAUAUAGCAAUGGAAACACAUAUUUGAAAUGGUUCCUGCAGAAGCGAGGGCAGUCUCCACAACUCCUGAUCUAUGAGGUUUCCAACUGAGAAUCUGGGAUCUCAGAAAGAUUCAGUGUCAGUGGGU